RNAcentral lists this ribosomal RNA (256 nucleotides) under Lachnospiraceae bacterium C7. RNAcentral's name for it is "Bacterial large subunit ribosomal RNA". It matches the Rfam family "Bacterial large subunit ribosomal RNA", at positions 2667 to 2925 of the family's 2925-position model. Lineage: Bacteria; Bacillati; Bacillota; Clostridia; Lachnospirales; Lachnospiraceae. The record is from Rfam by way of RNAcentral.
AGGAGCUGUCCUUAGUACGAGAGGACCGGGAUGGACGAACCACUGGUGUAUCUGUUGUCGACCAACGGCAUAGCAGAGUAGCCAAGUUCGGAAGGGAUAAACGCUGAAGGCAUCUAAGCGUGAAGCCCCCCUCAAGAUGAGAUAUCCCACUCGAAAGAGAUAAGACCCCUGAGAGACUAUCAGGUAAAUAGGGCAGAGGUGUAAGUACAGUAAUGUAUGUAGCUGACUGUUACUAAUAGGUCGAGGGCUUGACCAA